UUAAGUUGGAUGUGAAAUCCUAUGGCUCAACCAUAGAACUGCAUCCAAAACUGAGGGGCUAGAGUCUGGGAGGGGAAGAUGGAAUUAGUGGUGUAGGGGUAAAAUCCGUAGAGAUCACUAGGAAUACCAAAAGCGAAGGCGAUCUUCUGGAACAGUACUGACGCUGAGGCGCGAAAGCGUGGGGAGCAAACAGGAUUAGAUACCCUGGUAGUCCACGCCCUAAACUAUGAAUGUUAGUCGUCGGGAGGCUCGUCCUCUCGGUGAUGCAGCUAACGCAUUAAACAUUCCGCCUGGGGAGUACGGUCGCAAGAUUAAAACUCAAAGGAAUAGACGGGGACCCGCACAAGUGGUGGAGCAUGUGGUUUAAUUCGAAGAUACGCGAAGAACCUUACCUGGCCUUGACAUUGAUAGAAUCUGCUAGAGAUAGCGGAGUGCCCUUCGGGGAGCUUGAAAACAGGUGCUGCACGGCUGUCGUCAGCUCGUGUCGUGAGAUGUUGGGUUAAGUCCCGCAACGAGCGCAACCCUCGUCACUAGUUACUAACGGUUCGGCCGAGGACUCUAGUGAGACUGCCUUCGUAAGGAGGAGGAAGGUGAGGACGACGUCAAGUCAUCAUGGCCCUUACGGCCAGGGCGACACACGUGCUACAAUGGGAUGUACAAUGAGACGCAAUACCGCGAGGUGGAGCAAAUCUAUAAAGCAUCUCUCAGUUCGGAUUGUAGUCUG
Molecule: ribosomal RNA, 724 nt
Filed under: uncultured Campylobacterota bacterium
Lineage: Bacteria; Pseudomonadati; Campylobacterota
Description: bacterial SSU rRNA
Rfam family: Bacterial small subunit ribosomal RNA
Source: RNAcentral